Long non-coding RNA from Silurus meridionalis, 667 nucleotides. RefSeq lists it as uncharacterized. The transcript is spliced from 3 exons. Lineage: Eukaryota; Metazoa; Chordata; Actinopteri; Siluriformes; Siluridae. The record is from RefSeq and is a predicted model, not a curated record.
UACUACUUGGAUAUGGUCUCACUCUUUACAGCAUUCACUGCCUGGUGUUUGUCCUCCAUGGUUGCUUGCUCUUAUGGUCUACAGUCUACAGCAUCUUGAUCAGCAGUGUGCAGUAUAUCCAAACGGGAAGGUCUCUCCUCCAGCUUAAACAAGCUGUCUGAAACUUGGCCUGCGUGAUAGCCCGAGUGAUCCUCUUCUCAAUGCUGGAGGACAUCUUCAAUUUCUCACACGGCCAAACGCCACUCAGCAUCUGCGCUGGACGCCGGAAUGUUCACGUUCCAUGAGCGAAGCAUCCCUGCCGGAUAACGCUGUCACUGUGCACAAGGGGCCGUGACCCUUACAGGCCCCGGUUUUAUUGUCAGAGCUCACCGCGCUCACCUCGGAGCCAGGCAUACGCAGAUGGUGUCGCCUUUGAACAUUUUAUCUCUGGGAUUUCACGGUGGAAUGAUGCGGUAACUUAAACUGUUCGAGAGCAGUCCGGAAAUACAAAGCUUGCAGAAACUAAGAGGGACAGGAAAUAAAGGGAGAGAAAACAACUGAACGAAUCGAGUUUAACAUAAAAUACAGCUCAUGAGUGGUAAUGAAUUGUGUUAUAAGAUUUGAUGAAGUAAUACAGACGAUGUUGUACAUGGUAAACUUAUUAAUACGAAAUAAAUGAUUCAAAUUA